AUGACUGCGCGGUCGGCGCUGGACGAGGUCACCGACACGGGCGCCUUCGGCCGGUCGCCAUCCACCUUCCGGAGCUCCGUUUCCAGGGACAGGUGGUUCCCUGCCGUGGCGGGGCGGUACCACCUCUACGUCUCGUACGCGUGCCCCUGGGCGUCCCGGUGCCUCGCCUUCCUCAAGCUCAAGGGCCUCGACCAUGCCAUCGGCGUCACGGUCGUGAAGCCCAUCUUCGAGCGGACCAAGGGGAGCGACGAGCAUCUGGGCUGGGUGUUCCCCGCCGCCGCCGACGACGAGCCCGACGCCGAGCCCAACCCUCUCAACGGCGCCCAGAGCGUGAGGGAGCUCUACGAGAUCGCCCGCUCCAACUACGCCGGGAAGCCAACCGUCCCCGUGCUGUGGGACAAGCAGCUGAAGACGGUGGUGAACAACGAGAGCUCUGAGAUCAUCCGGAUGCUCAAUGACGAGUUCGACGGCAUCACCAGGAACCCCGGGCUGGACCUCUACCCGGCCCACCUCCGGGCCUCCAUCGACGAGGCCAACGAGCUGGUCUACGACGCCAUCAACAACGACGUCUACAAGUGUGGCUUCGCCAAGAAGAAGGACGACUUCGUGCUUGUGCCGGAUUUGGGGUCGCUCACCAGCAUCCAUGACAGGUGGGCGCGUGAACUCUUCUACUACCUCAAGGGUGGGCAGGUGGACUAUGGCGAGGAGCACAGCAAGGCUUGCAGCCACAACAGGUUUGGGAGAAUAUAUCACACAGGGCACUAUCCUGUUUGUUACGAGCACAACCCAGUGCAUUUUGUGGGGCACUCUGCUGGCGCGCAGGUUGUGAGGGUGCUGCAACAGAUGCUUGCCGACAAG
Zea mays is the source of this 858-nucleotide RNA transcript. It is a transcript of the gene named Glutathionyl-hydroquinone reductase pseudogene, with no coding region annotated. The transcript is spliced from 5 exons. The record is from RefSeq and is marked validated. Lineage: Eukaryota; Viridiplantae; Streptophyta; Magnoliopsida; Poales; Poaceae.